Molecule: ribosomal RNA, 339 nt
Filed under: Entamoeba gingivalis
Lineage: Eukaryota; Evosea; Mastigamoebida; Endamoebidae
Description: SSU rRNA
Rfam family: Eukaryotic small subunit ribosomal RNA
Source: RNAcentral
ACGACAAAUAACUCUAUUCUUUAACAAAAAGAAUUGAAGGAAUGAACGGAACGUACAUAGUUUUGUGAAAGCAAUUGGAGGGCAAGUCUGGUGCCAGCAGCCGCGGUAAUUCCAGCUCCAAUAGUAUAUAUUAAAGUUGUUGUGAUUAAAAGGCUCGUAGUUGAAUGAAGAUACUAUUGAAAAGGCUUUUCUUUUUAUACAAAAAGAGAAGUUUAGUUAAACAAUAGAAGAAGGAAAUGGAUUACUUUGAAUAAAAUAGAGUGUUUAAAGCAAAACAAUGUUAAUGAAUAAUGAAGCAUGGGACAAUAAGAAGGAGAUUUGAAAGGAUUUCGAGAAGAA